AUGCAAAUGGUCUCCUCGGGCCGGACUGCGGUGAACAUUAAUGGCGAGAUUGGCCCUUACUUCCCCACAUUCUGUGGGGUCUGUCAGGGCGAUCCCUUCUCACCAUCCCUCUUCAACGUGGUUGUCGAUGCUCUGGCCGCCAUCCUAGAUAAAGCCAAAGCUGUGGGACAUAUUAGGGGCAUUGUCCCGCAUCUAGUAGGCGGGCAUGGGAUUUCCCUCCUCCAAUACGCAGAUGACACCAUUAUAAUGGUGGAAGGCUCAGCGAAAGACAUCAUGAACCUGAAGUUCCUCCUGCUCUGCUUUCAGCAGAUGUCUGGCCUCAGGAUCAACUUUGAUAAGAGUGCGGUCAUGGUCUUGGGAUACUCCCUAGACGAACGGCAGAGCAUCGCGGACCGCCUCAACUGCCAGCUUGGGUCCUUCCCCACGACGUAUUUGGGGAUCCCCUUAGUGAUACGAGGCUUACGGUGGCCGAGCUACGCCCCACGGUGGGGAAGCUUCAGUACCGCAUUGAACCUUGGCAGGGCCGCUGGCUAUCUAAGGCCGCUCGGACGGUGCUCAUUAACUCGUCCCUCUCCAGCCUACUCCUAUUCAUUAUGA
This 597-nucleotide ribosomal RNA is filed under the name Triticum aestivum (bread wheat). RNAcentral's name for it is "partial small subunit ribosomal RNA". The record is from RNAcentral. Lineage: Eukaryota; Viridiplantae; Streptophyta; Magnoliopsida; Poales; Poaceae.